GCUCGGGAAUUGCAUCUGAAACUGCUCUGCUUGAGUCCUGGAGGGGGUAGUGGAAUUCCCAGUGUAGCGGUGAAAUGCGUAGAUAUUGGGAGGAACACCGGCGGCGAAGGCGGCUACCUGGACAGUGACUGACGCUGAUGCGCGAAAGCUAGGGGAGCGAACGGGAUUAGAUACCCCGGUAGUCCUAGCCGUAAACGAUGGGCACUUGGUGUUGGGGGUAUUGAGUCCCCCGGUGCCGGAGUUAACACGUUAAGUGCCCCGCCUGGGGAGUACGGUCGCAAGACUGAAACUCAAAGGAAUUGACGGGGGCCCGCACAAGCGGUGGAGCAUGUGGUUCAAUUCGACGCAACGCGAAGAACCUUACCGAGGCUCGAACGGUAACUGCAAUCCUUGGAAACAGGGAGUUCUCUU
Molecule: ribosomal RNA, 411 nt
Filed under: uncultured bacterium
Lineage: Bacteria
Description: bacterial SSU rRNA
Rfam family: Bacterial small subunit ribosomal RNA
Source: RNAcentral